UACGUAGGGGGCAAACGUUGUUCGGAAUUACUGGGCGUAAAGCGCGUGUAGGCGGCUAAGUAAGUCGGGCGUGAAAUCCCACGGCUCAACCGUGGAAGUGCACUCGAAACUGCAUAGCUAGAGUCCUGGAGAGGAAGGUGGAAUGCUUGGUGUAGAGGUGAAAUUCGUAGAUAUCAAGCGGAACACCGGUGGCGAAGGCGGCCUUCUGGACAGUGACUGACGCUGAGACGCGAAAGCGUGGGGAGCAAACAGG
RNAcentral lists this ribosomal RNA (253 nucleotides) under uncultured bacterium. RNAcentral describes it as "partial 16S ribosomal RNA". It matches the Rfam family "Bacterial small subunit ribosomal RNA", at positions 524 to 776 of the family's 1533-position model. The record is from RNAcentral.